This is a long non-coding RNA of Gasterosteus aculeatus aculeatus (three-spined stickleback), 8338 nucleotides long. The record is from Ensembl. NCBI's taxonomy places the organism in Eukaryota, Metazoa, Chordata, Actinopteri, Perciformes, Gasterosteidae.
CUCGGGAUCUUUUUUGUUACUUUGACCACAAAUAAUAAGUAGUGCAUUGUAAAACGGUUUUCAUUGUCCGACAUUUGAAAUGACACGUAAAAAAAAAGGCGGAAGCAAAGGAAUACAUUUUUAAUAGUCAACAUCCAAAAAUCCAAACUUACAAAGUAAUUAUGUUGAUUGAUGGAACAUUUGCAGACAUUGGCGUGUAAAAUAAUACAUUUUGCAGCCAUUGUGUAAUAAACUCAACAUCUUUCCAUGUUGGCUUCUGGGAUAUUUGAUGGCUUUUGUGUGUUUAUUCUCUAACAUUUUAUGGAGUAAACGAUUAAUGGAUUGAUUGAAAAAAAAAGUACUCUACCUAAGCCUAACCCUAACCGAGAUCACUUGAGAAACCCUUCGGUGCAUCCUCUGAACCUUUGAAAGGGGCCCAAGUUGGGAACCAAUGGACUAAACUAUAAAAACUCUACUACUAUUACUACUAACAUUACUAGACCCCAGUUUACUUAGAUAUCGAUACAUCUACAAAAUAACAAGGCCAUCAUUUUCUAACUUUACUUUGAUAUAUUCAGGUACAUUUGCUUGAUUGCAUUCAAAAAGAAAACAGGAUAAGCAUUCUAAAUAAAAAUACAUCAUAUUUUCUUUAUUGGACUACAUUUCCCAUCCAGUCUCUCAGUAUUACCACACAUCCAGCACAAUAUUGUCAUGUGCUUUUAAUCCGAUCCCGGUUUACCUUCCCUGCUCCUCCACUCCCACUGCUUUCAUCUCUCUGUACACACAAUGGACUUUCUGCCAGCUGGUUUCCAUUCUGUUCACACAAACCACCUUCCUUCUACACCAGCAACAAACAACAGAGAGUAAAAGUCGACUCACACACAGUGGUUGGAUAUUUUUACACACUUAAUACACACUUUCACGAACGUAAACCCAGCGACGGAGUGUACGAGGUUAAGCAGUGCAUUCAUUCAGGAAGGAGCAUGCUCAAAUAGGGGGAGCAAUGAGGGGCUUUUUCUUGGCCAGCAAGUCCAGGCUUGGUUGCAGGCCUGUCUAUCCGUACUCAGCGCAAACAUGUCAGACAUUUCACCACCAGUGUGAGUGAGCUGAGGUCCCCCAUUCCUUCGCUGCAGGUUGGAGUUAUCUACGGCUCACACUGUAAGCCUGAAUUGUACCCGGCCGGGUGAAUUUGUUAAUACUACAUAAUUAGCUUGUAUGCAUAUUCUUUCUAAAUAUGGCGAGCCGAUGAGCGACGUGCAGCAUUCCGGGAAAAUAUCUACAAACUGUAAAACACACAUGGGUACCGAAAGCUGAAAGGCAAUGUGUCCAGGUGUCACCAAAAAAUAAUCAUGUGGGUUGAGAUUCUGACAUUGGUCGAUGCAGGCGCAACUGCUCACUUAGUCCACUGUCGGUUUUUCGGGUUUGCACUCUUGAUUUUGGACCCGCACAGCGCGGCACUACAAUCCACGGAGGAGAGACGUCCAGUUGAUUAAUCCGCGGGUGUCGGGACAAACAAGUCGCCAUUAUGCAGACACUGGACUCGAGUUAUGCUGCUUUCAACAGAUCACCACCAUGACGGACGACCACAAGCAGGAAUACAUAUGCAUUUCAGGAAGCCGGCACAGUUCUCCAUAGAGGAAAGUGAAAAGCGCGGCUCUGGCUGGAAUAUACCGAGAACACCCAAAACAAACCCACUUCCUGGCGGGGUAGAAAUAAGGGAAUGUAUUUAUGAGCAUCUGGCAGUGGUUCAGUGAGGUCAGUGCACUGAUAGAGCACGUGGAUGUACCCAUACUCCUCUACAUAUUCCAGAAGAAGCUUCAACGCGGGUCACAGAUCAUGUGGUUUUCUUCCUUAUUGGUUAAUCCAUGCACAGAGACUUUAGCUUUGUACAGUCUAAUUUGCUGCAUUUUAUGUAUAAAAUUCUGUGUUAAAACAGAAUUGUUCUAGUUUGUUGGCGUGCGUGUAUAGUCCCAGAAGGCUGAAAUCAAAUCCAGUACGGCUAACACCCCCCUCACACCCCACACACACACACUCAGGCUCACACGCAUAUUUUGACUCUCCCGUGUUGUGACAAUAUUCAAUCUGUCUUUGGGAUUUCUUUGUCGGAGCGAUUAUGCUGGCAACAUUGACCGAUAUCGAGCUCGGCUUUUGGAAGAAGACACACGGUUUUCAUAAGCUCAUUAAUCUUAAAAGGAGCAACUGUCAGAAAACAUACAGUACCCCUAUUCCUGACAUUAAAAAGGGCCCUCCGAGGCCUUGAUUUCUGGUUUGGCAGAAAACGAUAUCACACUGCCUCCAAUGGAAGGCCUUGAAUGUCCCCUUUGCAAGCUUUUCCAUUACAGAUCUAGCAUUCUUAAGCUGAGGAGCAGAGAAUUACACCAACCCUGCAAUCCAUGACACACACGUGACACACACGGCUCCAAGAGGGUUGUUUGAGGAAUCACUGCUUGUGGUUAUUGGGCUUUUUCUAUGUAGCUGAUUCUAUGCUAACAAGAGCGAGAUAUAUUAAGUAAGUACAAAAGCUAAAAGUAAAAAGUUGACCAUUCACAUUACGCAGGAUUGUGAAAUUAAAAUAAAAAGGCUGAUGUCUGCCUGAUUCCCAAAUAGGGCGGGCAUGAACCAGCAGCAGCAGUGGACUGAGUAAUUAAGGUUCCUUCACUUAAUUGACAACAGAUCUAGCCAAGCGACGUUCCAAACAUGUGCAUGUGAAAAAUUCCCAGAUUUCAGGCCGAAUCGAACGGAUACACUCUGAGUAUGAGUGGUGCAGUCACAAACAAGUAAUGAAAACCUAAUGAAAAGAUUUGUUUUCAAUAUUUUAUGAAGUUUAUGUGAUUCUGUCUGUUGCUGUUUAACCAAGCCCAUCGGCAGACAAGAACGAUAUUUGCAACACUUUGGUGAAGAACAUCAACAUCUGCAACUAUCUUUAUUCCUCAUUUAGAAUUCCUUACAUUAUCCAAUCGAGCAAAUCCAAAAAUAAAGCAGGACUUUUCUGCUCUCGGCCACAGGGGGAGCUCUUCUUCACCCGUUUGCACUGUUAACUCUGCAACACUGGGAAGGAUCACAGUCUUUUAAGUGUCGAGGCACUAGUUUAAGACGUUGCAUCAGGUUCAGCAACGCACAGCUCAUGCAAAAAGGAGGCAGGACACAGUAAGCCGCUUAAAGAUAUCGUAGCAUAACUUAUCAUGACUUGGCAAUGAGCAGCUCUGCCAACAAUGUGGACAGUCUUUGUAAAUCUCAUCCACAAAAGAGCGUGGAAAAAUGACUAUUCUUACAGACACGUUUUGCAUGACGUUUCUUAUCUAUCUAUUGGAAGUAGCACAGAAUCAUAUUUAAAUUCAAGGAGCAUCUCGUUUUGUGCACUCCAUCUUUAUCUAGAUGGUGAUAGUGAAUUAAAGCCAUUGUCUGAUAAAGGGGUCACACCUUGAGUCUUCAGUGGCGUCCAGCCUGAUCCUUAACAUAAGUGUUCUUAUCACUAAUACGUCUUAUCUUUUACAUUUCCAGAGCGUCAUCUCGAAUGUAUGGUCGCUGCUUCUCAUUCAAAGUCAUGCUUUUAUCUUAAUGAAGUGCAUCAUGAUAAAUGCAGCCUCCUUCUUCAGUUGCACAGAUUGUGUUCCAGCAGCAUGCUGUAAUUCAGGAGAGCAAGGUUUACAUAACAUCAUGAGCUCACUUUACAAGUUCUUACAUGUGCUUCGAUAUACACUCUGCACUUGGAUGCUCAAACAUUUAUCGUAACCUUUGCCCAGCUGUGGUUCCUCGGCUUUAACCGCGUGUCUAAUUGUUGGAACAUUGAGAGCAAUGAAAUGCCAUGAAGUCCAAUAUGUCCACACGUGGAUUUUAAAACUUAACCAGAGAACAAGUCAUAAACUAAUUACAAUUUCAAGUUUUAAGUGUUUAAGUAACACUUUGAUCUCCACCCUGCAGACAAAAUAAAUGUCAUUUAUUGAGUUAGUUUCAUUUUAAUUUUGCAUUGUAUAAAAUUAUUAGAUGCAAAAUCACACGCUGAUGGAAGUGUUGUACAACAAAGGAAAAAAAAAUAAACAAAGCAUACUAAUAAAAAAUGGAUAAUUUCAGAGAGAUCAUCAUGCUCAAGUACUGUAUGAUAUAUGUGAUGACGAUUUUUGAUCAACAGAGAGCAAAAAACAGAGAGAAACAAGUCAUUUCUGUUUUUCUAAUAUGUUUCCACUUUAAAUGAAAACCAGAUUUGUUCCCUUAACACAGUUGUCAUGGAUUCCCAAGGACAGCCAGCCGAAUUAAAUCAAAACAAACUAAAAAAAGAAACGAUUUCUGAUGGAGCCAAUUUAGUUUAAUGGUCUUACAGAAAGAAAUGUCUGCUAGAACACUGACACAUUCUAUCUUUGGAAUGUGAUAAAUGCAAGAAGAGGUAAAGAAGGGCUCCUAUAAUCCCCUUCAUUCACACGCCCCCCAAAAAAGGAGCAAAAAGACUGUCGUUCACACCCGUUGCCUCCCUGGACAUUUCAAACUGGGGACGCACGUCUUCUCCCCACAAAAGGGUGAAAGUCAACGCAUGAUCCUCAGACAUCCCGCUCGAUGUAACAAUUAGAAGUAUGCUCGGAACCCGAAGACACACGAGACGGGUUUAGUGAAGGUCACGAGCAAUUACCCGGCCUGGUAAAAGCUGGCACGUCGCACAUGGCACCGCUGCACGCGCUCAUUAGGCGUGUUCUGCGGCUCCGAGUGGGUCUCGUGGCCAUAAAAGACCUGAGCCCGCUGCCUUCCAAGCCUGCUCACCAGCAGGAGCACAAAGAAACUACACAUCACCACCUCUGGAUCAGAUAGGAGUUGACAAAAGUAUUCUUUUUUUAAACUAGUGUGUGUGUGUGUGUGUGUGUGUGUGUGUGUGUGUGUGUGUGUGUGUGUGUGUGUGUGUGUGUGUGUGUGUGUGUCUGUGUGUUUUUACAGGUUGAGCUUGGAUGGCGACCCUACAGGAUAAGCAUUGAUUUACCAUUCCUUAUUAUGGCCAAAUAGGGAUAUUACCCCUUUUAGACUAUACGUGCAAUGUGGGUUUUACAAUACAAAACAACUCCAAAACGUCUCUGCAGACACAGAGCAGCCUUACUGUUUGGAUCCCGAAAGAAUAUAAAUAUUCACUUCAAUUUAAACUAAUAGCCUCAUGAUGGUGUGCUAACUGCUCAUAAUCUGGACCCCGCCAAAUAAUUUCCCCACUGAGCACUGAGAUCACUUGAUCCAACUUUAAAUCAAAAACAUUGGUACCCUAAAAAAAAACGGCUCUGCAUUUAAACACUAUGGUACAUCCAGAUGACAAAUUAAGACCAUAGCAAAGAGCCUCGGGUCGAAAUUGGAAAGAUGCAUCAUGUGCACAUUGUUGUCAGAUAACACAUGUUAUCGUAAAUGUCAACGCUUCACAGCUACAGCUACACACGCACACACCCGCGCGCGCGCGCGCACGCACACAUACCGUUCAGCUCUUGUGGAAAUAAAAAAUAUAGGCCUAUAUAUAUAUAUAUAUAUAAAGGAGCAGCAAUAUUACCCGUGAAAGAAGUUAAGCUGCACACGCGCACUAUGGGCCCCAUAUGACAGGAUGACUAAUAGAACUUUGAAUUCGGCUCAGAACUUUAAAGAAAAAGCAGACUUAAGGAAGUGAAUCCUCCGAUGACACUUAAAACCAACAUCAAUAUUUACCGACGGGGGUCGUCGCACCUCGCGGGCCUCAGGUGUCGAUCGGAUGAGUUCACUUCUUUCUGUCGGAUCUGAUAGCGAUUUGGGAGGACAUUUCAGACUUUGAAGACCUAAUUGUGGGCUAUUCGUUGUAAUCUUUCUGACAAACAUUUGCUUUGAACCGUUUUGAAAGAGAAGUACUCAUGGCUAAAUAUGAGGAAACUUGGGAAAUGCAAUUUAAACCAAACACAGGCCUAAAAAAAUGUCUGAACGAUUAAUUAAUUAAUGUAAUUAAUAUAAUAAUUCUAGGAAAAUAACAGACAGUGCAGUCUGUUUUGGAUCACCGCCUCAUUAAUAUAAUUGAAAUCGAAAAAAAUAAUUAUUGUGCUAUUUCUCAAAAUCUAGCAGAUUAAACGGUGUGGACUUUUUGAAGUCGGUGAUCAUCAGCAGACAAUAUCAUAUCUCUUACUAUUACCGGCAAAUGUAUACUUAAGUUGCAAUCCUAGCCUCAAAAUGCCCCUCAAUGGCUAUAUUGUGCCAACAUGGGCACGACGUCUCAAGAGCUUUCGGUUAAAGAUUAAAUGUAAUCUUAUUAAGUUUGUGUUUAGUUUGAACACCUCUGAUGAAAUGGCGGUGCACGUGAGCAUUUUAGACCUGAAGAGACUCAUUCUGUAAGUCAGAGGUGAAGAUAUAUAAUACAUUUUCCUUCAUUCCAUUUUAGAUGGAAUGUUGAAUUCAGAGUUGGUGUUUAUGCUGCUGUGUUUAUGUGGGCAGAUGUGGUGUGAUUACACUUGAGCCACUCAAGGCUGUUUUUGUUUUUGUCACACAGGACGAGCGGCUGAUAUGUACAAAACUAACCGACGACUGUGGUGUCCACAGUCCACACGCAUAAUCCUUAUUAAAUAUCUGUUAUGUGUUUCAUUAUUUAAUAAAAAUAGUAUCCUUUUUAAUACACGUGUGUAUUCUUAGAAAUUUCAGACAAAAUCCUUUUGGUGAAUAACAUACGAUCCCAGUUAUAAAACCAGACCACAUAUGAUUAAAUAACCAAAACAAAUUAUUAACAAAUGUACUUAUCUGUAGCACAUAUUUUGGGGGCGGGGUUUAUAUAUAUUUCAAUACAUCUGAAAUUAAUUAAAAAAACUGUAAUUUAUCAGUCUCUAGAAAAUAACGUAAUAAUAAUGGGAAUUUAAUUUGUUUCACAUGUGCAAAGGCAAAUGAAGAAAUAGAAAACGACAUAAUUCAUAUUCAUUUUUCCUCACAUUAAUUUUUACAUUUAAUCUCACAAUCCCAAAGACAAUUUCAAGCCUAGAAACAAACUUUUUUUCGUGAAAUGCAAACAUGUUAUACACACAAAAUGACAGUAACGCAUAAGUAAAUGACGCAUAAAUAAACAACACAGAAAACGGUAAGAAUAUGGGGCAAAGAGAAAAGCCCCUUCUCGUGUUGAUAUGUAUAUAAAUUGAAAAAGGUAAAACCAACAUUUUUUCUCCUAAUGAAAAAUCCAGAAAAUGGUUUACCUACCCAACGGUGCAUGUCAAACUGUGCUAUUAAAACCAUGCAAUUCCUGCCAUGUCCAGAUGAGGGGAGUCCUGCUAGCAGAGCAAUUGAGGAGAGACAAAGACACAAAACGACAGUGAGGCAAGUGAGAGACACCAGUGACACAGACAGAAUGAGACCUCAAUUAUUAAUACAAUAAUUGAGGUCUCAUUCUGUCUGCACUCAACUGCAAAGAAGUUCCCUUCCGGUAUAUGGAACCAUGCACCCUGCAACGCGCAACAUUAAUAUACGAAUUCACUUGAUACAUCCACUUCAUUCGAUACAUCCAUGAUAAAGGAGGAUACCUUUUUCAUUGCAUCUUCAAGGCAACCUUCUCCAACAUCCAACUCCACUUACCCGACCUGAUGCUUUCCAUGUGUCCUGCUCCCAGAUCUGCACGGCGGAGCGGCUCUGAGACAUAUGGAGGAGAGGGGUGGGGGUGGAAGAGGUGGUCUUGGGGGACAAGGACACUGCACCUUGUUACCAUCGGGUCGACUGUUAAGUUUUACAAGUAACGUUUUGCGAGCGCAUAAACGAUACCUUCUAAACCUGCACAGGAAACUCCGUCAACAUGCUGUGAUAAUGUAAGUCUCUGGCAUCCACUGGAUGCCCCAUAGUCUGGGAGCGGUGCGAUCUACAGAGGUAUCGAUUACACGCGCCCCUUUCCAUGUUUGAUGCUCCAACACUGGCUUAUAAAAAAUAAAAAAUAAAGUCAGGCUGCUGGUGUGCAACUUUCUCUGAUGGUCACAUGAGUCGACCCCCUAAGUUUUCCAAACUCGAUUGGACAUACAGAAAAAAAAGGAUUUCGUAGUGCUGAUAACUGUAUGGAAGGCUUUCAUUAAAACAGCCGCAAAUGGAAAACACUGGCCAGUCGCAUCCACAGGUCAAUAUUUUCAGAUAUAUUCUGAUGAUAUAUUUUUCAAAUCACGUGUCUACUCCCCUCUGGAUGCACACUAAAAGCACGUCACCGGUAUCAACACUGACAAACGGCGGAGAUGUCAACCCUUUGCAUGUAUCGGUUAUGAUGUACGAGUCCUUACCGGUGGCAUGUUGGAUGAAACGUUUCCCUUUCCCUCACUUCCCCUAUUUAAAAUAUUCAAGGAGGCUGCACGGCUCCAGACCGGAUGGGGUUUGCAUUGGCUGACGGAGUUCCCAGCGCAGGACGACCAAUGAAACCAAAGCACAG